This 28-nucleotide non-coding RNA is filed under the name Homo sapiens (human). Lineage: Eukaryota; Metazoa; Chordata; Mammalia; Primates; Hominidae. The record is from RNAcentral.
UGUGAGACCUACGAGUACCCACAGCGUG